GUAAAGCACUUUCAGUCGUGAGGAAGGUGGUAGUGUUAAUAGCACUAUCAUUUGACGUUAGCGACAGAAGAAAGCACCGGCUAACUCCGUGCCAGCAGCCGCGGUAAUACGGAGGGUGCGAGCGUUAAUCGGAAUUACUGGGCGUAAAGCGCAUGCAGGUGGUUUGUUAAGUUACAGAUGUGAAAGACCCGGGGCGUCAACCUCGGAAUAGCAUUUGAAACUGGCAGACUAGAGUACUGUAGAGGGGGGGUAGGAAUUUCAGGUGUAGCGGUGAAAUGCGUAGAGAUCUGAAGGAAUACCGGUGGCGAAGGCGGCCCCCUCGGACAGAUACUGACACUCAGAUGCGAAAGCGUGGGGAGCAAACAGGAUUAGAUACCCUGGUAG
This 384-nucleotide ribosomal RNA is filed under the name uncultured bacterium. RNAcentral's name for it is "bacterial SSU rRNA". It matches the Rfam family "Bacterial small subunit ribosomal RNA", at positions 425 to 793 of the family's 1533-position model. The record is from RNAcentral.